GAUCCUGGCUCAGGAUGAACGCUGGCGGCAUGCCUAAUACAUGCAAGUCGAACGAGAGGAAGGAAGGCUUGCUUUUCUGAAUCUAGUGGCGAACGGGUGAGUAACACGUAGGUAACCUGCCCAUGUGCCCGGGAUAACUUCUGGAAACGGAUGCUAAAACCGGAUAGGUAGCAGACAAGCAUUUGACUGCUAUUAAAGUGGCCUUGGCCAUGAACAUGGAUGGACCUGCGGUG
RNAcentral lists this ribosomal RNA (233 nucleotides) under uncultured bacterium. RNAcentral's name for it is "partial 16S ribosomal RNA". It matches the Rfam family "Bacterial small subunit ribosomal RNA", at positions 15 to 238 of the family's 1533-position model. The record is from RNAcentral.